CGCGCUGCGUGACGUGUCCGGCUGCCGGCGCGGCGGCGGCAAGCGGGCUGUGACGCCGGCGCGGCGGUGCGGGGGCUCCCCUCGGCGCGCGCGGCUCCCGGCCCAGGAUGCGCCGAGUGUGCGCCGUCUUCGGGGGCUCGCGCGGCAUCGGCAGGGCCGUGGCGCAGCUCCUGGCGCAGAAGGGCUACCGCCUGGCCGUCGUCGCCAGGAACCUGGAGGCGGCCGGAGCCGCCGCCGGGGCCCUGGGCGGAGAUCAUUUGGCAUUUAGCUGUGAUGUUGCCAAAGAACAUGAAGUUCAAAGUACAUUUGAAGAGAUUGAAAAAAAUUUGGGUCGAGUUAAUUUCUUGGUAAAUGCAGCUGGAAUUAACAGGGAUAGCCUUUUAGUAAGAACAGAAACUGAGGAUAUGAUAUCCCAGCUUCAUACUAACCUUCUGGGUUCCAUGCUGACCUGUAAAGCUGCUGUGAAGAGUAUGAUUCAGCAACAGAGAGGGUCGAUUGUUAAUGUCGGAAGUGUUAUUGGUUUAAAAGGCAACUCUGGCCAGACUGUGUACAGUGCCAGUAAAGGAGGCUUGGUUGGGUUUUCACGUGCUCUUGCUAAAGAAGUAGCAAGAAAGAAAAUUAGAGUGAAUGUAGUUGCACCAGGAUUUGUUCAUACAGAAAUGACAAAAGACUUGAAGGAAGAACAUUUAAAGAAAAGUAUCCCUCUGGGGAGGUUUGGGGAACCUGCUGACGUGGCCCAGGCGGUGGUGUUUCUUCUAGAAUCUCCAUGCCUGCUCCACGGGCUAAAGCUGGGAGACGAGUAGACGGGCCUCUUCCCGACGACGCGGGUACUUUCAGCAGCCGCCUCUGGAGUGGGUGACGCAUGUGAGCCCUUAAAACCCUUUCUCAGAUGGCUGUAGAGCUGUGGGGCCUCUGCAUGGAAGGCCUGUUGUUGGCUUUCAAAGUUUACUGGUUCCGACUUAAAACCAUCAAGUCUGGUCAGAGUCAACUCAAUCAAUCAAGCUGGUGCAGAAUCACAUGCAGUCAAGAAUCAGUGUUUGCCGAAAUGCCAUCACAACACUUGGAACCCAGCACCUUCUACAGUGAGGUCUCAGGGGGCAGGGAGGUGGGCUAUUUUUCUGUCCACCCUAUCUGGUGCCACUGAAAAGAAAACCCUGUGGCACACACCUGCUGUGGCCGAGUCCCUGUGCCCCCCGAGCAGACUAGAUCUGCAGGCAGUCUCUCACGCACGCACUCUCGCAGUCGCAGUCUGUUUUCAACUUGCUCCACACAUUGAACGUCUCCAGCUGCUACAGACCUCAGACAUGCUGAGGUUCCCGGGGCACCUGUGUGCCAGACUCCCAGCUGACCCUGGAUUCCCUGACUUUUGAAUGGCAGUGUUUUUUCACUUACAUUUUAGGCUAAUCCUGAAGCCCACCAAGGAGAAGCCUGUCCUUUACCAGGUCCCCUGCCCCUUCUGUGGUGUCUGAGUGGCAGCUUCCUUCCCCUGCCCCUUUCCAAACCUGCUUCCUCCAGAUACGGUGCACCUUCUGUGGAAUGGACUGUAAUACAGCUCUGCUUUGCACAGAAUUCUUUAUAUUAUUUAUAUUUAAGUUAGCCUCCUCAUAUGGUUUGUAAAUAAGCUUCCUGCCAAGGUAGCAUGAACAGAAAAUCCUACACAUAAAGAAAAGAGGUUAAAAGAACUAAGACACUAACCUGUUGGAGAACCCUUGGUGUUAAUAAAAUUUAAGGCUAGUAAUUCCUUUCUCCUGAAUUAGACAGUCUGCCAAGACAAGGCGUUUGCUUGGGUUUCUGUCAUUCUGCUUGCUUCUCACCCUGUGUAUUGCCCUCGGCCAGCAGCGGUGGUCUGCACGCGAUGCCAGUCCGGCGCAGCUGCCGCCUCGGGAUCGUUCCCCGGAAACACGCGACGAACACCAACAGCCAGUGGCUAAAGGCACGUCAGAUCAUGGAAUGCUAUCAAUAGGAUGAGUUUCUGAAAGUUGGAUGCAUGUACACAAAGACACACGCGCACACGCAGACCUACUGCUGAGCUGCGUAAGCUGGGUUAGCAGCAAGACACUGAGCCACAGCAAGGACACACGCCUCGAGUGUGUUAGGAACCGCGGCAGGUGCACACUGGAGGAAGGGUUAGGUGGUCGUCCGCGGGACAUGGGACAAGGAACUGAGAAAAACCAGGCCAGGCCUUUGCCAGCUGUUAGCCAUAAGGACGCCUGGGUAAGGAAGCCAGCUGGCUAGCCAGUCAUGUGAGAGGAAUCAACAUGCGUAUUUUGCUAAUAAUGCAAAGUUCCUGAAGGUACUUGGGUGUUUGUUCUCCUGGUGUAGUUCACUAUUAAUGUUGAGAAACUAUAAAUAGAAAGAGAAAGAGCAACAUGAAAUUUUUAGCAAAUAAAACAAGGUCAUAUAAAAGUGACGUGACUUGCUGUCCAGAGUCUCAGUCGAUAAAUGCAGCGAGGCAAUAUGGGGUGGGAUCGGGAUAGGAUGGCACUCACUGUGAACAUCCAGCCUGGCGGUACAGGAUGCGAUCCCUGCUUCGUUCUUGGCCGACACCGUGUACCACCCGGCAUCCUCCCGCGUGGCCCCCUGGAUGAGCAGGCAGAGGGAGCCGCGGCUGUCCUGGUGCAUGCUGCAGGGAAGACAGGGCCGUCUGGGGCUCACUUUGCAAAAGGGGCCCUGCACACCAAGUGUCAUUUGUACUGAUCGUUAGAAACAGAACUGUGCAAGUAGCUGAUAUUCGGGUCAUACUUACUCUGGAGGCGAGCUCCACUAAGGAGCCUGGGGGAGAAAGGCAGAUGUCAAGCGGUUGAAUGAACUGUACACUGAAUUUCUAUUUGAGGACCAGCCUUUACAAAAACCACUGAAUAGUUUCUCUACCACCAGUGAAGCGAAUGAAUUUACCUUUAGAGGUGAAGCACAUUCUGACUUAAGUCUAAUGGUGGUUUUUUUAAGUGUUUGUCACACGCCGGUGCACCUUCCAAAACCCUAACGGGACAUUAGGGUAAAGAGGGGUUUUGUCUUUGACACAGCAGCAGCUCUUAGAUGCACAGCUGCGCCGGCUCUUGGGCAUCUUGUUUAUCAGCAGGGCCUCUGGAGCAGGCGUGGGUCAGGGCAGGUCACUAUGUGCUCACCUCACGCGGUCAGUGCUCUGGGUGAGUGACUCGUUUUCUUUCUUCCAAAAUAUCUGCGGCGGAGGCACUCCCAACACACGGCACUCCAGUCGCACUGGGUACCCGUCAGCAACGCCUGUGUUCUGCAGCUUCUCAAUGAACACAGGGGGUUUGUGCGCUUCUUUAGCUGGGGAAACAUGAGAUGAAUUAUCUGUCGGUGCCACACAAACGGAGCUAAAAGAAGAAUCCAGGAGGUUUUAGAGCUGCUGCUCCAUGGAUCUUUUACUUUACAGUGCCAUUUUUCACUUCAUGCACGGAAACAAUUUCAGAGAAAGAACAAGGCUCAUUGUCUCCUGAGCCACCCACAGUGUCUGAGGACUGGCAUCUUCCCCCCCCCCGCCCCAGGGGGCAGAGCAGAAGAGCAGGAGAGCAGGAGAGGUGAACAAGGGAGAAAAAGGAUUCAGAGACGAGCCUACCGGCAACUACCAGCUCCAGGCUGAAUGAGUUCUGUCCCGCUCGGCUGGUGGCGGUGCACGUGUAGAUGCCAGCGUCGCGCGAUGUGACCGGCUCUAUGAUCAGCGAGUGCACCCCGUUCUCACGCACGAGCAUCUUGUGGGCGCUGUCGGGGCAGAUGGGCUUCCCGUCGAGCUGCCAGCUCAGCUCCGGGGUUGGUAACCCACUGACCUAAGCCAGAAAGGAAACAUGUAAAUUUUUCUAGUAUUAAAACCAUGAAACAAUUAACAGCUAA
Non-coding RNA from Manis javanica (Malayan pangolin), 3852 nucleotides. Lineage: Eukaryota; Metazoa; Chordata; Mammalia; Pholidota; Manidae. The record is from RefSeq and is a predicted model, not a curated record.